This 789-nucleotide ribosomal RNA is filed under the name Triticum aestivum (bread wheat). RNAcentral describes it as "partial small subunit ribosomal RNA". Lineage: Eukaryota; Viridiplantae; Streptophyta; Magnoliopsida; Poales; Poaceae. The record is from RNAcentral.
CUGAAUUUUCAGAAUUAUGAUGUGGUCAAUAUCUUAAAAGGAGAGGUUGAUUGUGCUAAGUUAAUGGAACUCCUUACUGCAACUUUUUGCAAGACUAGGCAAAGGCCCUAGCAGACCAGAGAGCUGUCCAGUAAGACUUUUUUAGUCAGAUUUCCCUCCUGAAAGAAAGUUGAGGACCUCAUUGAACUGCAUGGGUUCUCUCUUCCAGAGGAUGUUAAUGUUGCUUUGGCUGAAUGGAAAAGUGCUUGUGACCCUUUUGGGGAGCUAAUUGAAGCUUGGGUGUUAAUUGAAGGGAUUCCUCCUAAAUGAUGCACAUGGAAAGUGUUUGCCCAAAUUGCCUCACUCUUUGGGGUCCUUACGGAUGUGGAUUGGAAUGGUAUGUUUAAGACCUUCUUUGAGAAUGUUAGGGUGAAAAUUGCUUGUCGAGAUCCUACUAAGAUACCAUUUGAUAGGUUGAUUGAGGUGAAGAAGAAGCUCUUUCUACUAGGCUUCACUGUAGAAGGCUUUGAACAAGCUGGUGGAAUAGACUCUGUCAUUGAUGUUGAUGAUGAUGAAGAUGGUGAUGAGGAUGCUGAAGGAGCUGAUGAAGAACAAGUGGAGGAAGACAGGAAGACUCAUGGAGAGGAUGUAUCUGGUGGAUUAGUAGAUGGUGACCUGGCCAUUAAUGAACUAGACAAAGCCAAUUUCUCAACUAAGCAUGGGCCUUCCAACGAACAAUAUAAACAGAAUCAGGUGAUCUCACCUAUGGAACAAUACCCUGACUCUGAAAAUACUCCCCAUCAAGUAUAG